AUGAAUGUGGAGGAUGGUUUCCUCUCUCUGACAGUCUGUGACCAUAUUCCUUUCAUUCUUUGUCAAUCCCUCCCUCAGUCUGUCUGUACACCUUCUCCAUGGCUGUGUUACAUUCAUGCAGCUCAUCACUCCUCUGGCAGAAGUCUGUCUGAGCUUCAAUAUGGAAAGCCUAAAAUAAUGGA
This is a long non-coding RNA of Salarias fasciatus (jewelled blenny), 182 nucleotides long. RefSeq lists it as uncharacterized. Lineage: Eukaryota; Metazoa; Chordata; Actinopteri; Blenniiformes; Blenniidae. The record is from RefSeq and is a predicted model, not a curated record. The transcript is spliced from 3 exons.